AUGGCAAAGAGGAGGAGGUAUGAGCUAACAACGGACUCCUCGUCGUCGACCGCUUGGAAGUUUGGGGUGGUGCAUACCUCGAAGGCCGCCAUGUUGACGAGCCAGCUCGCGCGCGCAUGGUCCAGGGACAAUGGCGGCAAGGAGAUCUCGGCGAAGAGGACCCGCUUGUUCUUGACGCCCAUCUCUAUGAGCUCGCUGGUCUUGUUGGCUGUCAGCGUGAUGCCGAUUUCCGCGAGCUCGAUGGCUUGGUGUUGCCUCUCCCUACAAUGUAGAAUCGGAGAAGGCCGAGGAGGUGCGGCGGCUCGUAGCUAUCGUCCAAGAUCGGAGACUUCUUCUCGGUUAAUUUGCGGUCUUGCAGGCCAUCUUUCAAGUAAGUGA
Molecule: ribosomal RNA, 378 nt
Filed under: Triticum aestivum (bread wheat)
Lineage: Eukaryota; Viridiplantae; Streptophyta; Magnoliopsida; Poales; Poaceae
Description: partial small subunit ribosomal RNA
Source: RNAcentral